RNAcentral lists this ribosomal RNA (468 nucleotides) under uncultured bacterium. RNAcentral's name for it is "partial 16S ribosomal RNA". It matches the Rfam family "Bacterial small subunit ribosomal RNA", at positions 28 to 507 of the family's 1533-position model. The record is from RNAcentral.
GACGAACGCUGGCGGCGUGCUUAACACAUGCAAGUCGAACGGAAAGGCCCUGCUUUUGUGGGGUGCUCGAGUGGCGAACGGGUGAGUAACACGUGAGUAACCUGCCCUUGACUUUGGGAUAACUUCAGGAAACUGGGGCUACUACCGGAUAGGAGCUCCUGCUGCAUGGUGGGGGUCGGAAAGUUUCGGCGGAUGGGGAUGGACUCGCGGCUUAUCAGCUUGUUGGUGGGGUACUGGCUUACCAAGGCUUUGACGGGUAGCCGGCAUGAGAGGGUGACCGGCCACAUUGGGACUGAGAUACGGCCCAGACUCCUACGGGAGGCAGCAGGGGGGAAUAUUGCACAAUGGGCGGAAGCCUGAUGAAGCAACGCCGCGUGCGGGAUGACGGCCUUCGGGUUGUAAACCGCUUUCGCCUGUGACGAAGCGUGAGUGACGGUAAUGGGUAAAGAAGCACCGGCUAACUACGUG